GUUGAUUCUAUUAAAUGAUUCACUAUGGAGAGAUAGCAGACCUCAUAUGUCUUCAGCGUUAUUGUCCUGUCACCAGCUGGCUCAGAUCUCUGUUUAUAGGUAGACUUGAGUUAUGCGUGAACACUAGCGUCACGUGAUCAAUUCUCAUAAUGGCAAGGAAAGUUGUGUGAGUGCGCUACACCAGUUUUUGACGCGACAGUGACAACGUCUUAUAAAUUGGUUUGCCGGGUGACACUUCAAGAAACUCACAAUGAGAGCGAGUGAGAGCGUUCGUUUUGGUUCACGAUCGUCUGGAAAGAGCACGAAUAGGAGCAGUGGCGAGCAACCACAGAGAAGAGAAUUAAUCCCUUCUCUUUGGAGCAACCCAGCAGCAACCCGAAGGCAUUCACCUGGAGAGAGAGUGAAACGGAGCAGUCAACCUGCGCAGGCGCCGAAAGCAAUUUCCUGCGACUGCGCCACUAGUGAAUAGGUUAUGUUGGGGUGGUAUACAGUUGUUCGCACUAACAAUUGUUCGCAUCGCAAUCUGUGCACACUAACAAUUGUUUGCAUCGCAAUCUGUGCGCACUAACAGUUGUUCGCAUCGCAAUCUGUGCACGCUGGCAGUUCUGCGCAGAAUUUAGUAGUUUAGUGAUGUAGGCGCUCUACCUGCCCUCUAACGGAAUGUUAUCAUCAGAACCAUGCGACUCUUUAAUUUAUCACAAUGGCAUUGGCAACAAAAACUAGACCAUUUAUAUGCAUAAUAUACGCAUGGUGUUUAUAGGUUUUUUCUAGAGGAAAAAACGGUAUUGAUUUAGAGGUUAAGUUCAAGUUAUAAAUUUACAAUAUUACAUUAUUAUUGCAAGUAAAUUUCAUUUACUGCAACAUUACUGCAGAUUCACUUUAGGAAAGUAAAUAGCAAUUUCUCAAGUAGAAAAGUGUUAAGCUUAUCUAUGUUAAAAGCUGAAAUGGUACAAUUUUGUAUCACUAAAAUACUAGAUAAUACGGCGCAUGCUCACUGACCUCUUGUUGAAACUAAUGUAUGGCUGGUGAACAAUAUACUAUCUAGUAUCAGGUCUGUUUUUUUUUCAAUAUCAACCUAUCAAAUCUAAUCUACUCAAACAAUUUUUCUAAAAUUAAUGCUGAAUCUUUUCAUUGAGUUUUUAGAGAAUUUAAUAUAUUGUCUACUAUGAACAAACUUCUAUCUUCAGCAUACAUACAAAAUUUGGUAUUUUGAUAGCAUCGAGGACACAUUUUGGUAAACACCGCCCUUCCCCCACCAAUAGAUUUAUUCAACCUUUGCUAUUUGAGACUAUUGAUAUUUAUUCAAUUAUGACUAUUCAUUGUUAUACCCUAUGUAUUUAGGAUACGAUCCAUUCAUGGAUGCCUAGGCAACGUGUAACGAGAGGCGCUCUAAGAAAGAUUAUUAUUAAUAAUAAUAUUGUACAUUAUUAUUUAAUUUAGAAAUUUUCUCUUUUCAGAUAAUGUAGCACAUGCUCACUGAUCUCUUGUUGAAACUUGCUGCUGGUUGAAACUGAUGUAAUCUAUGUCUGGUGAACAAUUUAUCAAGUAUCAGAAACGCAAAGUGCCAGUAAUAUCUGCCCCCUCAUUACUGCUGAGUAACCGAGAAAGCUUUCCAAAAGACAAAGUUGUUCAACGAUAACAAAACAUGUCACAAAGUCCGCAUCGUAGUCAGCUCAUCGUGUGUGUUGGUUUUCAUACUGCAUUUAAGAAACAUUCUAAUAAAAAUAUCAAAUAAUAACAUUGUUAUUAACGAAGACAUUAUACAAUCUGUUUAUAAAAUGUAAUCUAUUCUAUUUUGUACUUUACAAGAUACCUAUAAUUCUAUUUGUGUUCAUUUGUGCUUUAAAUAACAACGUUAAAUUCAAAAUUGUAGUAGAUACAUUUUUUUGUACUCAAAAUAGUGUGUGAAUUAACUUAUCAUUUACAUAACCUUUAGACUGUGUAU
Molecule: long non-coding RNA, 1945 nt
Filed under: Nilaparvata lugens (brown planthopper)
Lineage: Eukaryota; Metazoa; Arthropoda; Insecta; Hemiptera; Delphacidae
Description: uncharacterized LOC120355038, transcript variant X2
Source: RNAcentral